CUUUAAGGUUUAACCUGCCCAAUGAUUAAGAUUAAAUGGCCGCAGUAUAUUAACUGUGCAAAGGUAGCAUAAUCAUUAGUUUUUUAAUUAAAAGCUUGAAUGAAAGGUUGGACGAAAUAAAAUCUGUCUUUAUGUAAUUAAUUAUAGAAUUUAACUUUUAAGUGAAAAGGCUUAAAUGUUAUUAAAAGACGAGAAGACCCUAUAGAUCUUUAUAAGUAAUUUAUUAAAAUUUUUAAAGAUUAUUUAUUAUUUUAUUAAAUAAUUUAUUUUAUUGGGGUAAUAUAAAGAUUAAAAUAAUUCUUUAAAUUUAUUUACAUUAAUUUAUGAAUUUAUGAUCCAUUUAUAGUGAUUAUAAGAUUAAGUUACCUUAGGGAUAACAGCGUAAUUUUUUUUGAGAGUUCAUAUCUAUAAAAAAGUUUGCGACCUCGAUGUUGGAUUAAAAAUUAUCUUGGGUGUAGAAGCUUGAGAAUUUGGUCUGUUCGACCAUUAAAUUUUUACAUGAUCUGAGUUCAGACCGGUGUAAGCCAGGUCGGUUUCUAUCUUUAAUAGGAAGAUAAUAUUUUAGUACGAAAGGACCAAAUAUUUAAUAUAUUAAUAUUUAAAUUUUUGAAUAUUAUUAUUACUUUGGCAGAGAUAGUGUAAUGAAUUUAGAAUUCAUAAAUGUAAUUUUAUUACAGGUAAUACUUGUUUAUAGGGGAUAUAUAUCUUAUAUUAAUUUGUAUGUUAUUGUUAGUAAUUUGUGUGUUAGUAGGUGUAGCUUUUUUAACUUUAUUGGAACGAA
RNAcentral lists this ribosomal RNA (781 nucleotides) under Omus audouini. RNAcentral describes it as "partial 16S ribosomal RNA". The stretch from base 1 to 568 matches the Rfam family "Bacterial large subunit ribosomal RNA", at positions 1843 to 2925 of the family's 2925-position model. Lineage: Eukaryota; Metazoa; Arthropoda; Insecta; Coleoptera; Carabidae. The record is from RNAcentral.